GAUGAAGAACGCAGCGAAAUGCGAUAAGUAAUGCGAAUUGCAGAAUUCCAGUGAGUCAUCGAAUCUUUGAACGCACAUUGCGCCCCUUGGUAUUCCGAGGGGCAUGCCUGUUCGAGCGUCAUAUUAACCACUCCCGCUUGCGGGGUCUUGGGCUUCGCCUCCGGGCGGGCCUUAAAAUCAGUGGCGGUGCCGUCGGGCUCUACGCGUAGUAAAUUUUCUCGCGAUAGGGUCCCGGUGGAUGCUUGCCAACAACCCCCAACUUCUUAAGGUUGACCUCGGAUCAGGUAGGGAUACCCGCUGAACUUAAGCAUAUCAAUAAGCGGAGGA
Molecule: unclassified non-coding RNA, 327 nt
Filed under: soil metagenome
Description: partial contains 5.8S ribosomal RNA, internal transcribed spacer 2, and large subunit ribosomal RNA
Rfam family: 5.8S ribosomal RNA (bases 1-121)
Source: RNAcentral